RNAcentral lists this ribosomal RNA (467 nucleotides) under uncultured bacterium. Its description in RNAcentral is "partial 16S ribosomal RNA". It matches the Rfam family "Bacterial small subunit ribosomal RNA", at positions 28 to 506 of the family's 1533-position model. The record is from RNAcentral.
GACGAACGCUGGCGGCGUGCUUAACACAUGCAAGUCGAACGGAAAGGCCCUGCUUUUGUGGGGUUCUCGAGUGGCGAACGGGUGAGUAACACGUGAGUAACCUGCCCUUGACUUUGGGAUAACUUCAGGAAACUGGGGCUAAUACCGGAUAGGAGCCCCUGCUGCAUGGUGGGGGUUGGAAAGUUUCGGCGGUUGUGGAUGGACUCGAGGCUUAUCAGCUUGUUGGUGGGGUAGUGGAUUACCAAGGCUUUGACGGGUAGCCGGCCUGGGAGGGUGACCGGGUACAGUGUGCUAGGGGAGGCGGCCGGAGGCAUACGGGAGGAAGGAGCGGGGAAUUUUGGGCACAGGGCGGAGUGAGGAAGGAGGGUCGCCGGGUCGGGAAAGACGGCUUUCGGGUUGGAAACAGUGUUCGCGUGUGACGGAGCGUCAGGGACGGUAAUGGGUAAAGAAGCACCGGCUAACUACUU